RNAcentral lists this ribosomal RNA (760 nucleotides) under uncultured Prevotella sp. RNAcentral's name for it is "bacterial SSU rRNA". It matches the Rfam family "Bacterial small subunit ribosomal RNA", at positions 28 to 776 of the family's 1533-position model. Lineage: Bacteria; Pseudomonadati; Bacteroidota; Bacteroidia; Bacteroidales; Prevotellaceae. The record is from RNAcentral.
GAUGAACGCUGGCUACAGGCUUAACACAUGCAAGUCGAGGGGAAACGACGGGGAAGCUUGCUUCCCCGGGCGUCGACCGGCGCACGGGUGAGUAACGCGUAUCCAACCUGCCUCUGACUGAGGGAUAACUCGUCGAAAGUCGGCCUAAUACCUCAUGGCAUCGUCUGCGGGCAUCCAACGACGAUUAAAGAUUUCAUCGGUCAGGGAUGGGGAUGCGUCUGAUUAGCUUGUUGGCGGGGUAACGGCCCACCAAGGCGACGAUCAGUAGGGGUUCUGAGAGGAAGGUCCCCCACAUUGGAACUGAGACACGGUCCAAACUCCUACGGGAGGCAGCAGUGAGGAAUAUUGGUCAAUGGGCGGAAGCCUGAACCAGCCAAGUAGCGUGCAGGAAGACGGCCCUAUGGGUUGUAAACUGCUUUUAUGCGGGGAUAAAGUGAGGGACGUGUCCUUCAUUGCAGGUACCGCAUGAAUAAGGACCGGCUAAUUCCGUGCCAGCAGCCGCGGUAAUACGGAAGGUCCGGGCGUUAUCCGGAUUUAUUGGGUUUAAAGGGAGCGUAGGCCGUGGAUUAAGCGUGUUGUGAAAUGCAGGUGCUCAACGUCUGCACUGCAGCGCGAACUGGUCCACUUGAGUGUGCGCAACGCAGGCGGAAUUCGUCGUGUAGCGGUGAAAUGCUUAGAUAUGACGAAGAACUCCGAUUGCGAAGGCAGCUUGCGGGAGCACAACUGACGCUGAAGCUCGAAAGUGCGGGUAUCGAACAGG